RNAcentral lists this ribosomal RNA (301 nucleotides) under uncultured bacterium. RNAcentral's name for it is "partial 16S ribosomal RNA". It matches the Rfam family "Bacterial small subunit ribosomal RNA", at positions 509 to 807 of the family's 1533-position model. The record is from RNAcentral.
CAGCCGCCGCGGUAAAACGGAGGGUGCAAGCGUUAAUCGGAAUUACUGGGCGUAAAGCGCACGCAGGCGGUCUGACAAGUCAGAUGUGAAAUCCCCGGGCUUAACCUGGGAACUGCAUUUGUAACUGUCAGGCUGGAGUCUUGUAGAGGGGGGUGGAAUUCCAGGUGUAGCGGUGAAAUGCGUAGAGAUCUGGAGGAAUACCGGUGGCGAAGGCGGCCCCCUGGACAAAGACUGACGCUCAGGUGCGAAAGCGUGGGGAGCAAACAGGAUUAGAUACCCCGGUAGUCCCUGUCUCUUAUAC